This 253-nucleotide ribosomal RNA is filed under the name uncultured bacterium. RNAcentral's name for it is "partial 16S ribosomal RNA". It matches the Rfam family "Bacterial small subunit ribosomal RNA", at positions 524 to 776 of the family's 1533-position model. The record is from RNAcentral.
UACGUAGGUGGCAAGCGUUAUCCGGAAUUAUUGGGCGUAAAGCGCGCGCAGGUGGUUCCUUAAGUCUGAUGUGAAAGCCCCCGGCUCAACCGGGGAGGGUCAUUGGAAACUGGGGAACUUGAGUGUAGAAGAGGAAAGUGGAAUUCCACGUGUAGCGGUGAAAUGCGUAGAGAUGUGGAGGAACACCAGUGGCGAAGGCAGCUCUCUGGGACGGUACUGACGCUGAGACGCGAAAGCGUGGGGAGCGAACAGG